UUUACUCAAAGUGUUUUUGGCGUUUUCAGAUUACUUGAGAAACUAAAAUACAUAUAUCACAACACAAACACAUAUAUUUUUACAUGAACAUAUUUAACACAGGGAUUAUAGAACACACAUAACCACACGUAUAUGAAGAAGGUACUACACGACGAUUCAAAUUACACAAAUGAAAACACAAACAAAAUUAACAAGCCACUAGACUGGUACUCACAGAUGAACAAAAUCGUACGUACUAAACAACUAAAAACAAGUAGUAAAAUUAGCUAGUACGGGGAGCAAGUACACUUAGAAUCUGAACAAUACAAAGUAUUACACCUCUGAACAGUACAACAAUUUCAGAUGGAGAUUGAGAGAGAGAGAUUAACAACAACUAGUUGAAGGUGAGGAGCAGCAGUUCAGAGUGGAGAAGGAGCAUCAGCAGCAAUUUGGAGAGGAGGAGAGACUCAGCAGUGGGAUAAAAGUAGCAGCAAGAGGGAGGUUGAGAGGAGGAGGUGCAUCAGCGAGGUAAGGGAAGAAGAGGUUCAGGUUAGGAG
This 536-nucleotide long non-coding RNA is filed under the name Hordeum vulgare. RNAcentral's name for it is "long non-coding RNA (HVUL_LNC000981)". The record is from RNAcentral. Lineage: Eukaryota; Viridiplantae; Streptophyta; Magnoliopsida; Poales; Poaceae.